This 625-nucleotide long non-coding RNA is filed under the name Mytilus galloprovincialis (Mediterranean mussel). The record is from RNAcentral. Lineage: Eukaryota; Metazoa; Mollusca; Bivalvia; Mytilida; Mytilidae.
CACAAGUAAAUUUAACCAACAUGAAGUUAGCUCUGUUUGUCCACUGUGUCAAUAUGAAGAUGAGGAUAUAGUUCAUUUCAUUUUAAAAUGCAACGCUCUAUUUAAAUACAGAAAAUCAUAUAUAGAAGAAUUGGAAGUGAUAAUAAACAGCAUAAGUAAUCCAAAUACGUGCUCAUGGAAUAGUCUGGUUGAUGAUUUUGGUCUAUUAACACAGUUGAUUCUUGACCCUAGUGUUUUGAUAAAACAGAAAAUAUUGUCAUGUAGUGAAAAGACUCUCACUAAAAUAGAGGAUUGCUCACGAAAAUUGUGCUUCUCCCUACAUUGUGGAAGAUCAUUGAUCAUAAACUCUGAACAUUGAUUGUCAAACUUAGAACUGUGAUAAUAAACUCAGAUUAGUGAUUAUAAACUCAGAACAUUGACUUUAAACUCAAGAGACAUCAAGGGUGUACAUAUUCUAAGGCUCUUAACCCAAAUGUUUAUAUUGAAUUUAUAUUGAAUUUCUAUGUAAAUAGUAUUGAUAAGAUAAUCCCUUUAAUGUGACUAUACAUAUCAUUAAUGAACAUUUACCCAUUUAUGGGGUGCACCAAUAUAGUGGUGGAUAAUACAUACCAAAGAAGAAGAAGUC